GACGAACGCUGGCGGCGUGCCUAAUACAUGCAAGUAGAACGCACAGUUUAUACCGUAGCUUGCUACACCAUAGACUGUGAGUUACGAACGGGUGAGUAACGCGUAGGUAACCUGCCUGGUAGCGGGGGAUAACUAUUGGAAACGAUAGCUAAUACCGCAUAAUAUUAAUUAUUGCAUGAUAAUUAAUUGAAAGGUGCAAUUGCACCACUACCAGAUGGACCUGCGUUGUAUUAGCUAGUAGGUGAGGUAACGGCUCACCUAGGCGACGAUACAUAGCCGACCUGAGAGGGUGAUCGGCCACACUGGGACUGAGACACGGCCCAGACUCCUACGGGAGGCAGCAGUAGGGAAUCUUCGGCAAUGGACGAAAGUCUGACCGAGCAACGCCGCGUGAGUGAAGAAGGUUUUCGGAUCGUAAAGCUCUGUUGUAAGAGAAGAACGGGUGUGAGAGUGGAAAGUUCACACUGUGACGGUAUCUGACCAGAAAGGGACGGCUAACUACGUG
Molecule: ribosomal RNA, 505 nt
Filed under: uncultured bacterium
Lineage: Bacteria
Description: partial 16S ribosomal RNA
Rfam family: Bacterial small subunit ribosomal RNA
Source: RNAcentral